Molecule: ribosomal RNA, 253 nt
Filed under: uncultured bacterium
Lineage: Bacteria
Description: partial 16S ribosomal RNA
Rfam family: Bacterial small subunit ribosomal RNA
Source: RNAcentral
UACGUAGGGUGCGAGCGUUGUCCGGAAUUAUUGGGCGUAAAGAGCUUGUAGGCGGUUUGUCGCGUCUGCCGUGAAAAUCCGGGGCUCAACCCCGGACUUGCGGUGGGUACGGGCAGACUAGAGUGUGGUAGGGGAGACUGGAAUUCCUGGUGUAGCGGUGAAAUGCGCAGAUAUCAGGAGGAACACCGGUGGCGAAGGCGGGUCUCUGGGCAACAUCUGACGCUGAGGAGCGAAAGCGUGGGGAGCGAACAGG